UAAGAUAUAACCGACAAGAACAUCGUUCUCGUGUGUAUGAGCUCGGAAGCAUGACCAUCCACUUCAAAUCGAAUUACUGAAAACAAAAAGCUUGCAUACAACCAGUCUGCAAGAGGCCACCAUUAUCCAGCCCACUGAAUUUCCCGUACUGUUUUGGUCCCUCGUAGUUGGAAAUAUUAUAAAACAACAUCAACAUUACAGUUGUAGCAGAUGGGAAGGUAUUGGCAUUGCGAGGACCUUUAUAGUACUGUAUAGUAUAUAAUACUAAAGAGGAAAAGAGGAAAUAGUAAGUAUACAUAUAAAAUAUAUACAUGUGUUGUCUUGUAACAGUGCGAGGGAUACAGUAGUACCCACUUGAGCCUUGAUCGUACAGGACAGUGGACCUGUUGAUUUUGUUUGCUACUCAGAGAAGCCUUAUCAGUUUUGAACUCUUACCUCGUUUACCUCGUCCGUGCUUCUGAAAUUGGGUGUAAACUGUUUUUUUAGUGGGAUUCGACGUUGUGCCCGAGAAGAUCCAUUAGACAGUAUUGAAUUCGCUGGGAUAUCCAGGGCGAAUUCGCAUCUGGGCUUUUUCAUCUGUCUACGAAGUGGUGGAAAUGAGAAAGUGGAGAUAGUGCUCGUGAAUGCUGGUAGCUGUGAUCAUAAAACGUUGGUUGUUAACUGGUGAGCCGCCAUGGUGUUGUUGACAUGCUUUAAUGCUAAGCAAUAUCAGCUCGUGAGUGGGGUGAAAAAUCAGUUUUUAUGAUAAAGUAAGGCUAAACGACAUUGGAAAGCUAGAAAAGGACGCAUACUUGAAAAAACAUGGGAUGUUUUAUAUCCAAAUCAAUAGAUGAGAGAGGCACAAAGAAAAAGUCAGGAAAUGGGGGGGAGAUUGCUGUUUUUGUGCCAGGCCUACGCACUCCUAAAACCAUUGACUUUGGGAGAUCACUUCAUAGCUACUUGUCUCCAGACUUGAUUGACCGCAUUUCAGCUCUUAGGACGCGCAUUGUUGUCAUGGCAGCAGGAGAGGGUUCGGCUGCAACCAAACCAAGGAGAAAGACAGCAACCCAACAUGGUGGUUCUACUUUGGCUGAUCUGCAGCAGGCUCUUGAAGAUUAUCUACCUGUUUUGCUAGGAUUAACCAAGGAAGGAAGCCAAUACAAAGAUUUGGUAGAAUUUAUUUGGGUAAAUCAGGAGGACGAUGAACAGGAAACAGCAAUAUCAAAUGCGUGGUAUGAGGUUUUAUCUGUUCUACACAUGAUGGCUAUGCUGUCUUUGUCACAAGCAAAUUUUUUACUGAUUCCAAAAGCUCAUAGUGACGGUUACCAGCCAAAGGUGACAGAAGAAAAUAAGAAGGGCGCGAUCAACAUAUUUCUAAAGGCAGCAGGAUAUUUAGAUUGUGCUGUUCGUUGUGUCUUGCCACAGUUACCAGAUGAAAUCAAGAGGAAGCUUCCAGCAGAUCUGAAUGAAGGAGUAUUGCAAGCUCUCGCGGUCCAAGCAUUAGGACAGGGAGUAGACAUCCAACUUGGAUUAGCAAUUGAUAAUGCAAAGGCUACCUUAGCAGUGAAACGAAGGCUAGCCUGUGAGGAAGUUAAGUACUGGCACCAGGCUCAAGAGAGCACAUCAAAUCUUCCUUUGGGAGGUGAUUGGGGAGUAAAACACCAGCUUUUCAUCAAGUGGAAACAUUCAGAAGCAAAGGCUGCAGCAUACUACUAUCAUGGUUUAAUACUAGAUGAGGGGAAUGCAGAGAACACACAUGCUAAUGCAGUAUCAUCGCUUCAGGCAGCAGAGCAGUUUCUAAAAGACAGUAAAAAAGCUUGUACCGAUUUCUGCCAGGCAACUCCAACUACAAGUGUGCCUCCUCUCUGGGGUGCUAUGAAGUAUCUAUCUGAGAAAAUUCCGAAGGAUUCUUCAAGCAAGGCGCACAUGAACAGGGAUGUUUAUAGUCGUGAAAAGGUUCCAGAAACUCCGCCAAAGUUGCCUGACUUUUCAGUAGCAUUGAAACCUGCGGAGUAUGACUUGCCUCCAAUUGAUCAUAGAUGGAGAGCAGAAGUUGACAUGCAACAAUAUCCGGUUUCAUCUUUGGAAGAAAAUAAAAGAGAGGGAAAACUCGAGUUAUUUCAAAUUGAUCAACUGAAAAAAUGAAGAUCAUUUAAGCUUUUCAGGGGAUUGUAGCAAGAGCACGGGCAUUCUCGCAAGACCUUUCUCUUGGUCUUCAAUGCAGCGAUCUGCUAAAGCAGAAAUGGGAUGUAAACUACAUUGUAAACUGAGAUUACAAUAUUAUGAAGGGGAAUGCAUCUAAAUCAGAAGUUGUUCUUUGGGUAAAUUGCCAUGAGCAGGGAGAUUUUCAUCUGCGCAAGUUAUCCAUGGGUUUAACCUGGCCAAUUGUGCCUCUAGGUGAUUUGACCCUUGCUAGAUGUGAAAUGUCCUCAUCUGAUAUUUUAUUCUGUUUAUUUUGCAAUUUCUUUUACAGUACUGAAAUAUUAACAAAAUAAUAAAUAACAGCGUACAAUACUGAUAUCAAAAACUUAUUUAUGUCAAAGAAAAUUCAAUGUUAGGUAUUGUAAAGAUCCCUUAAUACUACUUACGGUUAAUGCUUUGUUGAGUUUGGCCAUA
Molecule: RNA transcript, 2595 nt
Organism: Cryptomeria japonica (Japanese cedar)
Lineage: Eukaryota; Viridiplantae; Streptophyta; Pinopsida; Cupressales; Cupressaceae
Exons: 14
Source: RefSeq, a predicted model, not a curated record